This 593-nucleotide ribosomal RNA is filed under the name Aspergillus flavus. RNAcentral's name for it is "eukaryotic LSU rRNA". It matches the Rfam family "Eukaryotic large subunit ribosomal RNA", at positions 40 to 648 of the family's 3401-position model. RNAcentral also lists the same sequence under 2 other names. Lineage: Eukaryota; Fungi; Ascomycota; Eurotiomycetes; Eurotiales; Aspergillaceae. The record is from RNAcentral.
AUAUCAAUAAGCGGAGGAAAAGAAACCAACCGGGAUUGCCUCAGUAACGGCGAGUGAAGCGGCAAGAGCUCAAAUUUGAAAGCUGGCUCCUUCGGGGUCCGCAUUGUAAUUUGCAGAGGAUGCUUCGGGUGCGGCCCCUGUCUAAGUGCCCUGGAACGGGCCGUCAGAGAGGGUGAGAAUCCCGUCUGGGAUGGGGUGUCCGCGCCCGUGUGAAGCUCCUUCGACGAGUCGAGUUGUUUGGGAAUGCAGCUCUAAAUGGGUGGUAAAUUUCAUCUAAAGCUAAAUACUGGCCGGAGACCGAUAGCGCACAAGUAGAGUGAUCGAAAGAUGAAAAGCACUUUGAAAAGAGAGUUAAAAAGCACGUGAAAUUGUUGAAAGGGAAGCGCUUGCGACCAGACUCGCCUCCAGGGUUCAGCCGGCAUUCGUGCCGGUGUACUUCCCUGGGGGCGGGCCAGCGUCGGUUUGGGCGGCCGGUCAAAGGCUCCCGGAAUGUAGUGCCCUCCGGGGCACCUUAUAGCCGGGAGUGCAAUGCGGCCAGCCUGGACCGAGGAACGCGCUUCGGCACGGACGCUGGCAUAAUGGUCGUAAACGAC